Molecule: ribosomal RNA, 405 nt
Filed under: Bacillus subtilis
Lineage: Bacteria; Bacillati; Bacillota; Bacilli; Caryophanales; Bacillaceae
Description: bacterial SSU rRNA
Rfam family: Bacterial small subunit ribosomal RNA
Source: RNAcentral
GCCUACGGGNGGCAGCAGUAGGGAAUCUUCCGCAAUGGACGAAAGUCUGACGGAGCAACGCCGCGUGAGUGAUGAAGGUUUUCGGAUCGUAAAACUCUGUUGUUAGGGAAGAACAAGUACCGUUCGAAUAGGGCGGUACCUUGACGGUACCUAACCAGAAAGCCACGGCUAACUACGUNCCAGCAGCCGCGGUAAUACGUAGGUGGCAAGCGUUGUCCGGAAUUAUUGGGCGUAAAGCGCGCGCAGGCGGUUUCUUAAGUCUGAUGUGAAAGCCCCCGGCUCAACCGGGGAGGGUCAUUGGAAACUGGGGAACUUGAGUGCAGAAGAGGAGAGUGGAAUUCCACGUGUAGCGGUGAAAUGCGUAGAGAUGUGGAGGAACACCAGUGGCGAAGGCGACUNUNUGGU